RNAcentral lists this long non-coding RNA (1271 nucleotides) under Aotus nancymaae (Ma's night monkey). Its description in RNAcentral is "lncRNA (ENSANAG00000039029.1)". The record is from RNAcentral. Lineage: Eukaryota; Metazoa; Chordata; Mammalia; Primates; Aotidae.
GGGUCCUACGGGGUAGGUGACUUGCUAAGUGCCUUCCUCUGAUCUCAGAGAGUUGAAAAUAUUUUUUCCAUCUGUCUCUGUGCACUUUCCAGAGGUCUGUGUUUACAAAUAGAGUGCAGAGUCUGAGAUACUGUUUAGUAUAAUUCCAAUUCUUUUAUGGCCUUAUUUAUGCCUUUCAGCAAUAUAGACCAGGACAGAAUCAUCACUGAAAGCUUCAUCUGUUUGGAAUCAAAAAUGUGAAAGACCUGGAAAUUAAAUCAAAAGAAUAGCAGAAUAAUCCUCCUCACUGACAAAUGAGAAACAACAUUUCACUCUGUGGCCCAGGCUGGAGUACGGUGGCACAAUCAGCUCGCUGCAGCCUUGAACUCCUAGGCUCAAGCAGUCCUUCCACCUCAACCUCCCAAGUAGCUGAGACUACAGGUGAGCGCCGUCUCAACCCUCAUCCAGCUAAUUUUAAAUUUUAUUUUAUUUUUUCUAUAUUUUAUAGAGAUGGGGUCUCUCUAUGUUGCCCAGUUUGGUCUCAAACUCCUAGCCUCAAGCCCAUUCUCUUGCCUUGGCCUGCUAAAUUGCUGGGGUUACAGGCCGGAACCACCAUGCCCAACUUGUUAGUGUCUUCAUUAAAACUUUCAAAUUUCAGAGAAAAAUAUAUUAAUCAAGUCUCAGAAUAUCAUCAAAAUUAUUAAGGCAAGCUGUCUUUCAAAUAAAUUCCAAGAAAUUUUUCAUUUAAACUGCUUUACUUUGUUUUCUUUGUAAACAUGUACAGCUUAAUUAGAGUGUGUUUGACUUAACAUCUGGAUAAAUGUUACAUUUUCGCAAAUUGGCCUAUAUGGACAAAAAAGAAAUCUGUUAUUAGUAUAUUACACAAUAACUAAGUCGUAUGUGGUUUUAAACAACAGCCAGGGGAAACAUACCUGUCAUAAAAGCAUUAUAUACAUUACUUCUACUGCUUGGCUAGCAGAUAUUCAGACACAAGGGUUAAAUAUUUUCAAGUAGUUUCUCAUGAGAACAGUUUCUCCUGAGAUAAAUAGAUAAAGGAAGAACUAAAUGGUGAAGAAAAAAUAGUAAUAAUUUUGUAAUAAACUUGUAAUUUUUGUAAAAAUUAGUAAUAAGUUUGUAUUUACUAUUUAUGACACUAAGUUUCUGUUUGCCGUUGAGUUCUAUUGAGGAUUUGAUGACAUUAAGGAAGCCAUUUGCUUAUGGAAUCACUCUCAUCCUUUCUCAUAUGCUCAUCUCCCAGGAGAGUUCUUCUUCUGAAGAUCUCUCAUCUACAG